This 478-nucleotide ribosomal RNA is filed under the name uncultured bacterium. Its description in RNAcentral is "partial 16S ribosomal RNA". It matches the Rfam family "Bacterial small subunit ribosomal RNA", at positions 28 to 523 of the family's 1533-position model. The record is from RNAcentral.
GACGAACGCUGGCGGCGUGCUUAACACAUGCAAGUCGAACGGUAAGGCCCUUCGGGGUACACGAGUGGCGAACGGGUGAGUAACACGUGGGUGAUCUGCCCUGCACUUCGGGAUAAGCCUGGGAAACUGGGUCUAAUACCGGAUAGGACCCUGGGAUGCAUGUCCUGGGGUGGAAAGCUUUUGCGGUGUGGGAUGGGCCCGCGGCCUAUCAGCUUGUUGGUGGGGUGAUGGCCGACCAAGGCGACGACGGGUAGCCGGCCUGAGAGGGUGACCGGCCACACUGGGACUGGGAUACGGCCCAGACGCCUACGGGAGGGAGCAUUGGGGAAUAUUGCACAAUGGGCGCAAGGCUGAUGCAGCGACGCCGCGUGAGGGAUGACGGCCUUCGGGUUGUAACCCUCUUUCAGCACCGACGAAGCGCAAGUGACGGUAGGUGCAGAAGAAGGACCGGCCAACUACGUGCCAGCCGCCGCAGUAA